GGAGGGUUGGCAGAAUUGGCUAUUGCACCGGUCUUGAAAACCGGCGCCCGCAAGGGCUUGGGGGUUCGAGUCCCUCACCCUCCG
RNAcentral lists this transfer RNA (84 nucleotides) under bacterium. Its description in RNAcentral is "tRNA-Ser". It matches the Rfam family "tRNA". Rfam says of the family: Transfer RNA (tRNA) molecules are approximately 80 nucleotides in length. Their secondary structure includes four short double-helical elements and three loops (D, anti-codon, and T loops). The record is from RNAcentral. RNAcentral also lists the same sequence under 1 other name.